This is a long non-coding RNA of Quercus robur (English oak), 715 nucleotides long. RefSeq lists it as uncharacterized. NCBI's taxonomy places the organism in Eukaryota, Viridiplantae, Streptophyta, Magnoliopsida, Fagales, Fagaceae. The transcript has 6 exons. The record is from RefSeq and is a predicted model, not a curated record.
ACAACAAAACCUAAAACAAAACCUGGCCAUCCCUACCCUAAUAUGUUUCAUUCUCUUAACUAUUCCACAAUCAGGAAAAAAGAAAAGAGCGAGAGAGAGAAGAUGACGAAAACGUCAAUGGCUUCCCUAAGGUCAUUCUCCGCGAGGUUCGUGGUUGCUCCGCUGAGUUUCCUUGCCACCGUCAAAUUCAAAGAAUCUGCAACUGAAGCCAACCUUCUCUGAAGAGCAAAAUCCUAACCCCGGGUACCAUCAGUUGGUAUUCCAGCACCAAAAAGGGCUCAACCUCUUGGUACCAUCUCUGCUGCUCCUUGGGGUUCUACACUUAUUUUGCCAAUUUCAUAUUCAUACAUAGCCAUGAGUUCUAAGGGACUCACUAAAGCCUCAAAGAUAGGAACCUUGAAUGCAAACUACAUGGCAAAACGUUUGGAGCAUGAAAUAGAAGUUCAUUGUUUUCUUAGUACAAUAUAAUGAUGUGAACAUUACAAAGCCACUACCCCAUUCUUUUUCGAGGAGUCAAUGGAACAGUCGCCAAUGAAUUUCAAGGGUAUACUGUUGGCUAUGUGAAUAUUAAAGCAAAAAUGUUGUUUAUACUUUGCAAGUUGAACUUAGACAUUGAUGCUCAAGAAACAGUGCUAAUUGGUGGGUAUACUAUUAUGGAAUUGCAUCGUGUUUUGGUUUAGGACUCUAUCACCACAAGUCAAACUCAAAACCCACA